GAAAUGCGAUAAGUAAUGUGAAUUGCAGAAUUCAGUGAAUCAUCGAAUCUUUGAACGCACAUUGCGCCCGCCAGUAUUCUGGCGGGCAUGCCUGUCCGAGCAUCAUUUCAACCAUCAAGCCCCCGGGCUUGUGUUGGGGACCUGCGGCUGCCCACAGGCCCUGAAAACCAGUGGCGGGCUCGCUGUCACACCGAGCGUAGUAGCAAUCACCUCGCUCAGGGCGUGCUGCGGGUUCCGGCCGUUAAACAGCCUUACAAAACCCAAGGUUGACCUCGGAUCAGGUAGGAAGACCCGCUGAACUUAAGC
Molecule: unclassified non-coding RNA, 306 nt
Filed under: plant metagenome
Description: partial contains 5.8S ribosomal RNA, internal transcribed spacer 2, and large subunit ribosomal RNA
Rfam family: 5.8S ribosomal RNA (bases 1-105)
Source: RNAcentral